CCUACGGGAGGCAGCAGUCGAGAAUCAUUCACAAUGGGGGAAACCCUGAUGCAGCGACGCCGCGUGAGUGAAGAAGUAUUUCGGUACGUAAAGCUCUAUCAGCAGGGAAGAAAAUGACGGUACCUGACUAAGAAGCCCCGGCUAACUACGUGCCAGCAGCCGCGGUAAUACGUAGGGGGCAAGCGUUAUCCGGAUUUACUGGGUGUAAAGGGAGCGUAGAUGGCAGCGCAAGUCUGGAGUGAAAUCCCAUGGCUUAACCAUGGAACUGCUUUGGAAACUGUGCAGCUAGAGUGCAGGAGAGGUAAGCGGAAUUCCUAGGGUAGCGGUGAAAUGCGUAGAUAUUAGGAGGAACACCAGUGGCGAAGGCGGCUUACUGGACUGUAACUGACGUUGAGGCUCGAAAGCGUGGGGAGCAAACAGGAUUAGAUACCCCUGUAGUC
RNAcentral lists this ribosomal RNA (440 nucleotides) under uncultured bacterium. Its description in RNAcentral is "partial 16S ribosomal RNA". It matches the Rfam family "Bacterial small subunit ribosomal RNA", at positions 338 to 795 of the family's 1533-position model. The record is from RNAcentral.